CGAUGGGACCUAUGGCUGAGCUUGAUGUCGAGCUACACGUUGACAAGGUGUGACAGUGCACUGCACAGAGGUUCUGCUCUCCCCGCCCCCAUCUUUGUUAUUAGGACUAGGUGCCUCGAGUUGGUACCUCUUGGUCUUCACAAGUUGACAAAAAUGCUCUUUGACAGCCAGGUGUGUAUGUGUAUGUGCAUGCACAUAUGUGUACAUGUAUCAUGUUUUUUCCCCUAGACCUCUGCAUGUUGCUGCCCGAAAUGGGCUAACAAUGGUUGUUCAGGAACUUUUGGGAAAAGGAGCAAGUGUGCUUGCAGUAGAUGAAAAUGGCUAUACCCCAGCUUUGGCCUGUGCUCCCAAUAAGGAUGUGGCUGAUUGCCUGGCUCUCAUUUUGGCCACCAUGAUGCCUGUCUCAUCAAGUAGUCCUUUAUCAUCCUUGACAUUCAAUGCCAUUAACCGUUAUACCAACACCUCAAAAACAGUCAGCUUUGAAGCUUUGCCCAUCAUGAGGAAUGAACCUAGCUCCUAUUGCAGUUUCAAUAACAUUGGAGGGGAACAGGAGUACUUAUACACUGACGUGGAUGAGCUCAACGACUCCGAUUCUGAGACCUACUGAGAGGCUGAGGAGGAGGGAGUUCUCACAGUAAAGCUUCAAACUGUGCUUUUUCAGGAAAAAGGCACUUUGAUAUUCACGUAGAAAUUCAACCUGAGAGGAAAGAUCGCACAGUGAGCCAAUGUUAAGAGAUCUGAUGACAUUAGGAGGAAGAGUUUUAAAGGCAAGUUUUACAAAAGGAACUUCUAGAAUCUUGAAAUAGACUUGACUGAGGAAAACACAUUGAUGUCAGAAUUCUUUGUGGAAUUGUUUAAUUUGGUUUUGCAGUGCCAGGAAUAAUUGGGGACACUGUGCACUCUAACCUGCUUACACAAGCAACACUAUUGUAACAAGAAAUAAAGACACUAGAUUUAAAUUUUAUCAAUAAAAUUACAACUAAAUUUAAAGGCAAUAAAAGUUUGGUACAGUAGGCAUUAUGUGCACAGCAAAUUGCAAAAGGACCAAAUAACUGAAAGGUUUUUUUAAUAAAAUGCCAUUUU
Molecule: small RNA, 1083 nt
Filed under: Pongo abelii (Sumatran orangutan)
Lineage: Eukaryota; Metazoa; Chordata; Mammalia; Primates; Hominidae
Description: processed transcript
Source: RNAcentral